Molecule: ribosomal RNA, 465 nt
Filed under: uncultured Klebsiella sp.
Lineage: Bacteria; Pseudomonadati; Pseudomonadota; Gammaproteobacteria; Enterobacterales; Enterobacteriaceae
Description: bacterial SSU rRNA
Rfam family: Bacterial small subunit ribosomal RNA
Source: RNAcentral
CCUACGGGGGGCUGCAGUGGGGAAUAUUGCACAAUGGGCGCAAGCCUGAUGCAGCCAUGCCGCGUGUGUGAAGAAGGCCUUCGGGUUGUAAAGCACUUUCAGCGGGGAGGAAGGCGUUAAGGUUAAUAACCUUGGCGAUUGACGUUACCCGCAGAAGAAGCACCGGCUAACUCCGUGCCAGCAGCCGCGGUAAUACGGAGGGUGCAAGCGUUAAUCGGAAUUACUGGGCGUAAAGCGCACGCAGGCGGUCUGUCGAGUCGGAUGUGAAAUCCCCGGGCUCAACCGGGGAACUGCAGUCGAAACGGGCAGGCUAGAGUCUUGUAGAGGGGGGUAGAAUUCCAGGUGUAGCGGUGAAAUGCGUAGAGAUCUGGAGGAAUACCGGUGGCGAAGGCGGCCCCCUGGACAAAGACUGACGCUCAGGUGCGAAAGCGUGGGGAGCAAACAGGAUUAGAUACCCCAGUAGUC